RNAcentral lists this transfer RNA (71 nucleotides) under Oculatella sp. LEGE 06141. It matches the Rfam family "tRNA". From Rfam's summary of the family: Transfer RNA (tRNA) molecules are approximately 80 nucleotides in length. Their secondary structure includes four short double-helical elements and three loops (D, anti-codon, and T loops). Lineage: Bacteria; Bacillati; Cyanobacteriota; Cyanophyceae; Oculatellales; Oculatellaceae. The record is from Rfam by way of RNAcentral.
GCAAGAAUUACAGUUUUUAGUGUGGAGGACUGAAAAUCCUCGUGUCGGCGGUUCAAGUCCGCCUCCUGGCA